RNAcentral lists this ribosomal RNA (428 nucleotides) under uncultured bacterium. RNAcentral describes it as "bacterial SSU rRNA". It matches the Rfam family "Bacterial small subunit ribosomal RNA", at positions 506 to 930 of the family's 1533-position model. The record is from RNAcentral.
UGCCAGCAGCCGCGGUAAUACGUAGGGUGCGAGCGUUGUCCGGAAUUAUUGGGCGUAAAGAGCUCGUAGGCGGCUUGUCACGUCGGAUGUGAAAGCCCGGGGCUUAACCCCGGGUCUGCAUUCGAUACGGGCAGGCUAGAGUGUGGUAGGGGAGAUCGGAAUUCCUGGUGUAGCGGUGAAAUGCGCAGAUAUCAGGAGGAACACCGGUGGCGAAGGCGGAUCUCUGGGCCAUUACUGACGCUGAGGAGCGAAAGCGUGGGGAGCGAACAGGAUUAGAUACCCUGGUAGUCCACGCCGUAAACGUUGGGCACUAGGUGUGGGCGACAUUCCACGUCGUCCGCGCCGCAGCUAACGCAUUAAGUGCCCCGCCUGGGGAGUACGGCCGCAAGGCUAAAACUCAAAGGAAUUGAUCGGGGGCCCGCACAAGA